This is a non-coding RNA of Camellia sinensis, 2451 nucleotides long. The record is from RefSeq and is a predicted model, not a curated record. NCBI's taxonomy places the organism in Eukaryota, Viridiplantae, Streptophyta, Magnoliopsida, Ericales, Theaceae.
UCAAACACGCGCUAAGUUGCUUUAGAGCACAUGGAGAUCGCUUUGAACUCAAAUGUGCACAAUGAGCUAUAUCGUUUAAAUCGCUGAAUUUAUUACAUUGGUUGGUUGUAUUGAUCUGAUGUGGGCAUAUUUUCAGAUCACCGGAGUGUGAAGGCGAUCCAAAGGAAGACGACUGGGAUAGGCCAGAUGAGGUACCUCCGCAACGUACCUCGCAGAUUCAAGAGUAGUUUCAGAGAAGAAUGAGGCCCUUGGCUAUCCGGUUAUCCUGUUUGUUUUCUCUUGAGGUUUUUGUUUCUAUUGAUUCAAAGGUAAGCAAUGGAAGAUAGCAAGAACCCUAACAUGGUGGUCGGAUGCAACUUGAUGUGAGCAUUACUGCAGUAUCUGCUAUUACGGUGUGGGUUUAAGGCAGUUGAUGGUUCAAUGCAUUACUCCAUCUUACUUGUAGUUGACUCAUGGGAUUGAUGUCCCUUAAAAUUGUAGUUAUUGGUUAAUUCUGUGCUAAUGUAUUGUGUAAUUUUGUAUGACAUUAAUUUCAUUAGACAUCGAUUAUUAUUAAAAAUAUUUUUCCCUCGAGAACAUUUGUUAGUGGUAUAAUUCUUUAAAAACAUCCAUGACAAACUCAAGUCAAGUCGAGUGGUUGUUCAUGUUUUGUUGAAGAUGCAUUUCCCUGUGCAGGGAAUCUCAGGUAUUUUGUAUAUCAUGUGCAUUUUGAUGUCUGACAUCCUUUCUUCAUGUCUUUUUGGCUCUAUUCCUAUUUUGGUUGUUCAACGUCGCCCAUUCAGCAUUUUCGCUUCUGGUUGUGAAAUAAGCUAAAUAUAAGGCCAAGCUAAUGGCCAAAUCUCCUUGCUUUUCAGAUCCUUUCACCUCUUGGUUAUGAAACCAGCAAGAGAUUUUAGGUGUAAAGCAAGACCACCGUACCAUCGUUUGGCCUAAAAGUCUUGUAUUAUCACAUUGUCCUAUACCAGGAGGCAAGAAAUAGACAAAUAGGUGGCUUGUAAGCCUCCUGAGAGAUACCCAACUUUGUGUAAUAAAAAGUAUAUUUAGAAAUUCCUACUUUGCAAAAGAUAAAAUAAGAAAGAACCUUUCCUGUCCUGCCUAUACAACAAAUGGAGAAUAGCUUAGGUUUUAAAUUGUAUUUCCUUUGAUAUGAAUUAGGAUAAUUCUUUGAUUUGAGUUAUUUCAAAAGACAAACCAACUCUUACUUUAGUGAAUUAAACCUGCAAAGGUCACAAAGAAGCUUGUUACUCACAAUAGAUGUUCUUUACUCUCUUCUUACCUGACCAUGUUCCUCACGCAAAAGAGAGGAAUAUGAUUAUCAGUAACUAAUUCAGUGAUAUUGGAUUUGUUUAGUUAUUUAACCGGGAACUUACUAAGUGGACCCGUGCCUGAUUGGAUUUUGCAAAAUGGAGAAAACAUGUAAGUUAUCUUCUAAAGCCAUAGAGUGCCUUCUCUGUUGGUUUUCAUGGGCAUUAAUUAAUCCAUUAUUCAUGUUGUGAUUACACUUGUAGAUUAUUGAUUGCUUAUGGUUCUAGUCAUUUAUUGAUUGACUACAUUCCUUGGCAUUGAAUUUUCUGUGACUCUCUUGAAGUACACUUCAUUAUUCUUUAACGUUAAAUUUUAUCUAUGUAUUUGUUUGAUGCAGAUGUUGGUUCAAUUUUUAUUUUUUAUUUUUCAUUUUCUUCAUGGGCUCUAUUACUUCUUGAACCUUGUGAACUUAGCUUGGAUGAAAAAAGUCCUCAUUUUAAUUUGUGGGAACCCAGCGGUCUGGAAGAUAUGUGAAUAUUUUUCAUUUGUAUUGUAUUGCCUCCACAAGAAUAUGACUUCUAAUAACCAAUCAUCUUGGAAGUUGAUAAUCUGAUCGUACCAUCUUAGACAGGCCUCUAGCAUGGGGUGAAAAGAUUUUCCCUUUUAUUCUCUUUCUCAUAAUUAACUAAAUAAAAUCCAAUAUGGCCACCUAAGUAUUAGAAGCCAAGGAUAGAUCAUAGCCUUUUCUUAGAUUAGAGUGGUGGAUAUAGCAAUUAAGACUUCAAGUGGUUUAUUGCCACUACCCAUGUUACCAAUCAAGUUAUUAGUUAAGCUGAGUGGAAAAUAAUAAGUACCCACAUAGAAGGCUUAGGUAAAAUUGUCACAACUUAGAAUUAUUAUUGUUCCCUUUUCAAUUAUGUCAUCAACUAAAAUGGAUGAAAAAUAGUUCUUAUCUCAUGUUAUAUUCAAGCCUGGGAUGAAUCAUGGUGUGAAUUCUCCAUGCAGUGAUCUUUCCUAGAACAACUUUAGCUCGUUGGGCCCAAGUUGUCAACAAAGGACUGUAAACUUAUUUGAAAGCUCUUCAACGGGUAAUACAUCGUAAGUUGUUAACCUUUUGUAAGCACCUUCAUCAUAAAUUUCUGUUGCUUUCAUAAUCCAUUUGAGCAUUGCUUCAAAUUAUGUUCUUGUUAUAACUCAUAUUAUGAC